AUUGAACGCUGGCGGCAGGCCUAACACAUGCAAGUCGAACGGUAACAGGAAGAAGUUUGCUUCUUUGCUGACGAGUGGCGGACGGGUGUGUAAUGUCUGGGAAACUGCCUGAUGGAGGGGGAUAACUACUGGAAACGGUAGCUAUUACCGCAUAACUUCGCAAGACCAAAGAGGGGGAGCUUCGGGCCUCUUGCCAUCGGAUGUGCCCUGAUGGGGUUAGCUAGUAGGUGGGGUAACGGCUCACCUAGGCGACGAGCCCUAGCUGGUCUGAGAGGAUGACCAGCCACACUGGAACUGAGACACGGUCCAGACUCCUACGGGAGGCAGCAGUGGGGAAUAUUGCGCAAUGGGCGAAAGCCUGAUGCAGCCAUGCCGCGUGUAUGAAGAAGGCCUUCGGGUUGUAAAGUACUUUCAGUGGGGAGGAAGGGAGGAAAGUUAAUACCUUCACUCAUUGACGUUACCCGCAGAAGAAGCACCGGCUAACUCCGUG
This 490-nucleotide ribosomal RNA is filed under the name uncultured bacterium. RNAcentral describes it as "partial 16S ribosomal RNA". It matches the Rfam family "Bacterial small subunit ribosomal RNA", at positions 30 to 507 of the family's 1533-position model. The record is from RNAcentral.